AGCCUGAUCCAGCAAUGCCGCGUGAGUGAUGAAGGCCUUAGGGUUGUAAAGCUCUUUUACCCGGGAUGAUAAUGACAGUACCGGGAGAAUAAGCUCCGGCUAACUCCGUGCCAGCAGCCGCGGUAAUA
RNAcentral lists this ribosomal RNA (128 nucleotides) under uncultured Novosphingobium sp. RNAcentral's name for it is "partial 16S ribosomal RNA". It matches the Rfam family "Bacterial small subunit ribosomal RNA", at positions 380 to 525 of the family's 1533-position model. Lineage: Bacteria; Pseudomonadati; Pseudomonadota; Alphaproteobacteria; Sphingomonadales; Sphingomonadaceae. The record is from RNAcentral.